GUGCUUGCUUCGGCAGCACAUAUACUAAAAUUGAAAUGAUACAGAGAUUAGCAUGGUCCCUGCACAAGGAUGACACUAAAUGCUAUAUUAAUAAUUCACAAAUAC
RNAcentral lists this small nuclear RNA (105 nucleotides) under Zalophus californianus (California sea lion). RNAcentral also lists the same sequence under 1 other name. Lineage: Eukaryota; Metazoa; Chordata; Mammalia; Carnivora; Otariidae. The record is from RNAcentral.